GGGCCUGUAGCUCAGUUGGUUAGAGCGUCCGCCUGAUAAGCGGGAGGUCAUUGGUUCAAGUCCAACCAGGCCCACCA
RNAcentral lists this transfer RNA (77 nucleotides) under Planctomycetota bacterium. RNAcentral describes it as "Planctomycetes bacterium (freshwater metagenome) tRNA-Ile". It matches the Rfam family "tRNA". Rfam says of the family: Transfer RNA (tRNA) molecules are approximately 80 nucleotides in length. Their secondary structure includes four short double-helical elements and three loops (D, anti-codon, and T loops). The record is from RNAcentral. Lineage: Bacteria; Pseudomonadati; Planctomycetota.